RNAcentral lists this ribosomal RNA (253 nucleotides) under uncultured bacterium. RNAcentral describes it as "partial 16S ribosomal RNA". It matches the Rfam family "Bacterial small subunit ribosomal RNA", at positions 524 to 776 of the family's 1533-position model. The record is from RNAcentral.
UACGGAGGAUGCAAGCGUUAUCCGGAAUGAUUGGGCGUAAAGCGUCCGCAGGUGGCAAUGUAAGUCUGCUGUCAAAGCGUCUGGCUCAACCAGAUAAAGGCAGUGGAAACUACAUAGCUAGAGUAAGGUAGGGGUAGAGGGAAUUUCCAGUGGAGCGGUGAAAUGCGUAGAGAUUGGAAAGAACACCGAUGGCGAAGGCACUUUACUGGGCUAUUACUAACACUCAGAGACGAAAGCUAGGGUAGCAAAUGGG